UAACGCGAAGAACCUUACCAGGUCUUGACAUCUUCUGCUAACCUAAGAGAUUAGGCGUUCCCUUCGGGGACGGAAUGACAGGUGGUGCAUGGUUGUCGUCAGCUCGUGUCGUGAGAUGUUGGGUUAAGUCCCGCAACGAGCGCAACCCUUAUUGUCAGUUGCCAGCAUUUAGUUGGGCACUCUGGCGAGACUGCCGGUGACAAACCGGAGGAAGGUGGGGAUGACGUCAAAUCAUCAUGCCCCUUAUGACCUGGGCUACACACGUGCUACAAUGGACGGUACAACGAGUCGCGAAACCGCGAGGUCAAGCUAAUCUCUUAAAGCCGUUCUCAGUUCGGAUUGUAGGCUGCAACUCGCCUACAUGAAGUUGGAAUCGCUAGUAAACGUGGAUCAGC
Molecule: ribosomal RNA, 395 nt
Filed under: uncultured bacterium
Lineage: Bacteria
Description: bacterial SSU rRNA
Rfam family: Bacterial small subunit ribosomal RNA
Source: RNAcentral